GCAGCGGUAGUUCAGUCGGUUAGAAUACCGGCCCGUCACGCCGGGGGGCGCGGGUUCGAGUCCCGUCCGCUGCG
RNAcentral lists this transfer RNA (74 nucleotides) under Pseudomonas sp. SHC52. Its description in RNAcentral is "tRNA-Asp-GTC". It matches the Rfam family "tRNA". From Rfam's summary of the family: Transfer RNA (tRNA) molecules are approximately 80 nucleotides in length. Their secondary structure includes four short double-helical elements and three loops (D, anti-codon, and T loops). The record is from RNAcentral. Lineage: Bacteria; Pseudomonadati; Pseudomonadota; Gammaproteobacteria; Pseudomonadales; Pseudomonadaceae.